RNAcentral lists this unclassified non-coding RNA (20 nucleotides) under Mus musculus (house mouse). RNAcentral describes it as "oocyte_clustered_small_RNA368". The record is from RNAcentral. Lineage: Eukaryota; Metazoa; Chordata; Mammalia; Rodentia; Muridae.
UGUGUAGCUAAAGUUCUGGG